ACUCAUCAACCCUGUGACAUACCUAUAACGUUGCCUCGGCGGGAACAGACGGCCCCGUAACACGGGCCGCCCCCGCCAGAGGACCCCCUAACUCUGUUUCUAUAAUGUUUCUUCUGAGUAAACAAGCAAAUAAAUUAAA
Molecule: unclassified non-coding RNA, 139 nt
Filed under: Fusarium sp.
Lineage: Eukaryota; Fungi; Ascomycota; Sordariomycetes; Hypocreales; Nectriaceae
Description: ITS1
Source: RNAcentral